Molecule: long non-coding RNA, 515 nt
Organism: Halichondria panicea
Lineage: Eukaryota; Metazoa; Porifera; Demospongiae; Suberitida; Halichondriidae
Exons: 3
Source: RefSeq, a predicted model, not a curated record
CUACAUGUACAUGAAUGACUGUUGUACCAAUGGCAUGGACCAUGCAGGAGUACAAUAAAAAAAAAUAAUGUACUCCUGCAUGGACUUACUUCUCUGACAAAUAACCCUGAUGGGACGCUGGGAGUCGCUGCACAGUGUCUUGAUUCUUCAUUAACAGUCACUAUCUGAAUUGGCUCUUACUCCCCACUAGCCUUGAUCCCAGGCCGCUCUUCAGUGAAGGAGAACCCCCACCAGACCCUAACAGACCCACGCAAGCUUAGGUGUGAGUGCAUGUGUAUACAGAGGGAGCUAGUGCAGGUGAGAUCGAGACACUCUCAAACACUUCCACCAAUCUAAACAAAAGCAAAGACAUUGUUGGAAAGGAAGCUGGAGUCUUUCACUGAUCAUGAUCAAGGCAACUCUGAGCAUUCUCUCGGUAGUGUGACUCUCAGACGGUUUCUUCAAAGGAACCCCUGACCAUGUGUAAGCAGUGUGCUUUCAGAAUGAAUAAUAAUUAUAGUCACUCUCUUGACUUG